AAACAAAAACACGUUCUGUAAGAUAAUAUUGAGACAUUAAACAUUGUUUUAGCUCAUGAAAACAGCCUCUGGGAUAUGCACUCGUUUCAUUAAUUAAAUAUAUACAAAAUAAGAAUUGUUAUUAUUAAAAGUUUUAUAGAUGUUAGUGUCACAAAUAGAAAUGUGUGUAUCUUGUGAAUGAGUGAUGAGUUGGCAUGCAACACUCCCCUCCCGUCCCCCCUCACAAACACACAAACUAGACAAUACGAGGAGUCUGCACGCACUCGGACAAGGAAAGGUUAAAGUCUAUAUAGGAAAAUUAAUCUGAUAUUAUUUACGGUAUUCUUGUAUUCUGUACAUGCAUAUUUAAUUCGAUAAAUAAGUC
This 364-nucleotide long non-coding RNA is filed under the name Mytilus galloprovincialis (Mediterranean mussel). Lineage: Eukaryota; Metazoa; Mollusca; Bivalvia; Mytilida; Mytilidae. The record is from RNAcentral.